Molecule: transfer RNA, 69 nt
Filed under: Heterocephalus glaber (naked mole-rat)
Lineage: Eukaryota; Metazoa; Chordata; Mammalia; Rodentia; Bathyergidae
Rfam family: tRNA
About the family: Transfer RNA (tRNA) molecules are approximately 80 nucleotides in length.
Source: Rfam by way of RNAcentral
GGGGAUGUAGCUCAGUGGCAGUGUAUCUGCCUGGCAAGCACAAGGUCCUGAGUUUGAUUCCCAGUACCA